This is a small nucleolar RNA of Acomys russatus (golden spiny mouse), 132 nucleotides long. RefSeq annotates it as small nucleolar RNA SNORA17. The record is from RefSeq and is a predicted model, not a curated record. Lineage: Eukaryota; Metazoa; Chordata; Mammalia; Rodentia; Muridae. The transcript has a single exon.
ACCAUACUAUAGCAUUGCUGGUGUGGCUUCUGUGUCGCAUAUGUCAGGAGGUGGUAGAGAGAAGAGAGGCUAUGUCUACUCUUAGUGCUCUGACCUAUGAGCAUCUGAAUGGUCAGUAAGUAGCUUAGCAUU